UACAGAGGUCCCGAGCGUUGUUCGGAUUCAUUGGGCGUAAAGGGUGCGUAGGCGGCGGGGAAAGUCUGAUGUGAAAUCCUGGGGCUCAACCCUGGAACUGCAUUGGAUACUUCCUUGCUAGAGUACUGGAGAGGAAACUGGAAUUUACGGUGUAGCAGUGAAAUGCGUAGAGAUCGUAAGGAAGACCAGUGGCGAAGGCGAGUUUCUGGACAGUUACUGAUGCUGAGGCACGAAGGCCAGGGGAGCAAACGGG
Molecule: ribosomal RNA, 253 nt
Filed under: uncultured bacterium
Lineage: Bacteria
Description: partial 16S ribosomal RNA
Rfam family: Bacterial small subunit ribosomal RNA
Source: RNAcentral